CCUACGGGAGGCUGCAGUAGGGAAUAUUGCUCAAUGGGGGAAACCCUGAAGCAGCAACGCCGCGUGGAGGAUGAAGGUUUUCGGAUUGUAAACUCCUUUUGUUCGCGGAGAUAAUGACGGUAUCUAACGUCUACGCACCAGCUCACGCAGGUCAAGCAGCCGCGGGCAUACGGAGGGUGCAAGCGUUAAUCGGAAUCACUGGGGGUAAAGAGCGCGGAGGCGGGAUAGCAAGUCAGAUGUGAAAGCCUAUGGCUUAACCAUAGAACUGCAGUUGAAACUGGUAUUCUAGAGUGUGGGAGAGGUAGGUGGAAUGCGUGGUGUAGGGGUAAAAUCCGUAGAGAGCAAGAGGAAGACUCAUUGCGAAGGCGACCUGCUAGAGCACAACUGACGCUGAAGCGCGAAAGCGUGGGGAGCGAACAGGAUUAGAUACCCGAGUAGUC
Molecule: ribosomal RNA, 440 nt
Filed under: uncultured bacterium
Lineage: Bacteria
Description: partial 16S ribosomal RNA
Rfam family: Bacterial small subunit ribosomal RNA
Source: RNAcentral